Mustela putorius furo (domestic ferret) is the source of this 78-nucleotide non-coding RNA. The record is from Rfam. Lineage: Eukaryota; Metazoa; Chordata; Mammalia; Carnivora; Mustelidae.
CUCUGCUUUCAGCUUCUUUACAGUGUUGCCUUGUGGCAUGGAGUUCAAGCAGCAUUGUACAGGGCUAUCAAAGCAUGG